UCUAGCUGUUAUUUUUUAAUGCACCAACUAAGCCCCUCUGUUUUUUUCUUUGUAACACAUCAAAGCCAUAAGCUGAGCGAGCAGGCCCCCCUCUUCCAGCAGGCCGGGUGCCUCCAGCAGGCGGAGCUUGUUAUGAUGCUGAGCAGAGGGAAGCUGCUGGGUAGCAGGUGGAGACAGCGAUGCGCUUCUCUUAGGGAGGAUCAGAGAGAGCUGGAGAGGACACGCUUGUCGUUGGAGAGACACGGGGAAAAAUUCACAGCCCAAAGGAGACUGCCUCCUGUUCUGUUCGUGGUCGGGAGGCGCGGAUUUGCGCACACACAGAAAGAGAGGCUGACGGGCUGCGGAGCGCUCCAUCUGUCUCCGUCGUGUCGCUGGAGGCUGCGGCGAGGUGAUGCUCCAUCUUUGGAUCGACGGCCGGAGCCGUUUUUCCUGAAAGCCUGCUAUUAUGCAGGGAGCAAGGGAGACGGCGAGGAUUAAAGGGGAACGAAGCACCGGUUCAGGAAACAUUUUGCACUCUGGCAGUGUGAGCCAACUAUGGUUGACCCCUCAGAUGUUGAGGAGCAGAAUAAGUGUAAAGGUCCACAACUUGACACACCAGCUGUGGCCGCCGAAGACCCUCGACUACCAGAACCGGUUGACGGGACGACAACUGAGGAGGAAGGCGAUGCCGGUUUCGAGACACCGCCCACUGGCAGCUCAGAGCCCAGCCCCUGCCACACUGCAUCUCCGGCGGGGCCACAGGGCAGCACACAGGAGCCAGCGCCUCAGCAACCACAGACUCAGACGGACACAGAUUUGUCCCCCAAACUGCACCUGGACCUGUACAACUUUGACUCGCCUGAGGCGGAGGGCAGUCGCUAUGUGUUGACAAGCCCCCGCUCACUGGAGGCGUGUGCUCGAUGUGGAGUCAAACCCGUGGAGCUGCUGCCUCGCCUGCUAACAGACUUCAUCCGGGAGGCUCCUGGGCGGUCGAUGCGUGUCGCCACAGGGCUCUUCGAAGUCUACGAGAAGGACAGACAUGGCAAACUCAGGCACUGCAGGGAAGAGAGGGAGCGGAUCGUUAGGGAAGAGAAAAGAAGGAUUCUGCAGGCAACUGUCAACGGCAGCACGCCUUCAUCCUCCGUGGAUAAAGUCCCAUCUGGGAUCAGUGUGCCCUCCAAAUCGGGCACAGCGACCUCUAGCUCAGUCCCUGAUGUGGGAGUUUCCUUUAAAACUGCAUCAUUGGGUGCAACUCUUCCAUCGAAAGCCCCCACCUAUACUCUCAGUACCUCACCAAAAUCCAUGCAGCCUAGAACUGUCCCAUCUCCAAAGUCUGGACCCAAACCAUCCCUAGCCCCGAAGGGUCCACUCCAAGGUUCAACCAAAGCUUCAGUCUCCUCCUCAUAUGAGCAUACAAAAACCACGCACCCACUUUCGUCCGGCCCCCCACCGGUGCUCAAGAAAGCCACUGGGGGUAAAUCUUCAAACACUUUCCCAAGAUCAACACCGAAACCUCCCUCUUUCCCCAGAGCCAACUCAACGUUAACAUCGUCUGUGACAAAGCCCGCCAUUCAGCGCUCCAGUGCGCCUUUGAACGGCGUAACAAGAGGGCUGUUCUCUCAGCACAACGGGCAUCUUGGACUGCAAUCCAAGACCCGAGGGAAAAGCCACUCCCUGGAGUCUCUACAGCGAAGGAUGGAUCCGGUCUGCUGCUCCACCUCCACGACCACGACGACAUGCACCUCAUCCGAGUCUGGGGCUUCCUCUUCUUACAGUUGGGACGGUGCGCGAGACCACUGGGCUAAAAUGUCCAGCCCUCGGGCUCGCACCAUGGCCACCUUCAACUCCCUGAUGGGCCGCAGCCUCAGCCUCGGAGACCUCAGCCACUCCCCUCAGACAACACAGAAGGUGGAGCGCAUCGUGAAGGAGGUUAAGCGUCGAGGCCUCAAAGCUGUAUCCGAGCGCGACCGCAAGAUUGCCGCCUUGAUGCUUGCCAGAUACCAGGAGGAAGACAUCAUGAGUCAGACUCGCUAUGUCGCUCACCUUCAAUGGGACAGCGAGCGCCGGAUGGAGGAGCUGCGGCGGGAGCAAGAGGACAGGGAGAAGCAGCGGGCCGUGCUCCAGUGCCAGCGAGUGUGGCAGACCAAGGUUUCGAUACGUCAGCAGAAGAUCAGCCGGCAGGAGCGCGAUUCAGCCGCUGCGAAACUGCGACAGGCUGAGGAACACGAGGAGCGUUGGAAGGAGCUUGCGGAGCAGCAGGAGCGCAACCGUCUGCUGCGGCUACAGCAGGCGGCGCGAGAGGAGAAGCACAAGAAAGCUCUUCAGGAACAGAACCUGAAGGCCCUGGAAGAGGAGAGGGCCGCCAUGCUGGAGCAAGAGAGGCUGCUCCUGGAGGAGAAGCUCACCAUUGCCGAGUUGAAGAGGCAGGAGCGGGAGCACCAGGUCCAGGAGGAGAGACGAGGUCUGAACAAAGCAGAGAGACGACGCCACGCCGCCCUCACACAAGAAAUCGCCCGUAGGGAACAGGAAGAGAGGGAUGAAGCUAAAAGGGCAGCGGAGGAGAAGCUCACCCGCUCCCUCGAGAACUACGAGCAGAUAGUUGAACGUCGAGGGCAGGAGCUGAAAGAGAAAGCCAAGCGUGAGGAGAAGCAGAUCCAGAAGGCCCGUAAGGCAGCCGAGAAGCGCGAGAAGCAGCAGCAGCAGCUGCUGGAGGCCCGCGUCAGGGAGGCCGCGAAACGCGCCCAGCAGGCCGCCAUGGUGGCUGAGGAGAAGGCCAAGGAGAAAGCCAAGCGGGCCGUCCAGAGUCGGCAGGAGAAGGAGAGACUUCAGAAGCUCAACAGGCAGCGUGUGGAGGAGGAGGAGAGGCAGAGGCGCCUGGAGCUCCUACAGUCCAUCGAGAGGAAGCUGGAGAAGAGCGAGCAGAUCUUCAAGGAGAAGAAGGCUGUUUUGGAGAGUGCCCGUUCUGUGGCUCGGGCGUCCUUUCAUGUGCGGGACAAAGUGCGGGAGGAGACCAACAUGCGCACUUUUGAUAAGAUGGCCCUGGAAGCUCAGCUCAAAGCGAGUCUCGAUGAAAAGUAAACCCAUGGCUUUGUUGUAGACCCCUGGUCACAUCAUUGACUCCUGCCUUCAUCACGCAACAGGCUACCCUUCUUCUACAAACACCGGUGUUUAUUCUUAACUACAUAUCAUUACCCAUCAGCGGUUUUAUUAUACUUUUAAACCACUUUUAUCAUAGAUCCCAUUAAAGUGAAGAAAUCAUUGCUGUAUUAGGAAAAUAAACCAUAUCAGUAGUUAUUUCGUACCAGUAAAGCUCCCGAGGCAGACUGAACCAGCUUGAUGUUGUGGACAGAACUUUUUUUAUUUUAUUUAUUUUGUGUGACGGGGUGGCUGUUUGUUAUGGUUUGGGCUUUUUGCGUGUGUUUUUUUUUUUUUUUUUUGUGGCAACGCAUCAUCUUUUUGUCCUGAGCUGCGUCUUAUUUCAGCCACUGGACUGGAAGCUGUGCUGGACUGAAAAGAGUCAUUGUUUAUCUGGAAGCACAACUCCACGACAUCUGCAGGGGCUUUCAAAGGGAACACUCCUAUUAGCGAGAAAGCAGGCUGGAGGAAAAACUGAAACACAAAUGGUCCCGGGCCAUCGCAAACAAAUGACCGGCCCUCUUUGUACGAACAUGGACAGAGGCGCGGGCAGCUUGGAAGCUCAGCCUUGUCCGUCCUUUCAUUGCUGACAGUGCUGUGCUGGGAGGUGCAAAGGACAUUGGGAUAUUGCACCACAAGCAUACCUCCUUCAAAUUCCCUUCAAUGACUCUCUUUUUGCUGUUCACGUUAAAUUACAGUUAACAUUGAAGCUUUCUGAGAGAAAACCUCCUCUUGACUCCCAGCACCGUCCUCCUGCCUCUAUCGCAGCAUCACGGUGACCAUCUUAUAGUCCGCAGGUCCUGGAAAUGAAUGAGAGCAGAGCUUUCUCCAAAGCCGGCAGUUCUCUUCUGUGACUUAAAUGCAAAUAUAUACGUUAUUUAUACAUUUUUUUAUUCUGGAUUAUUAUCAUCAUAAGAGGCUGCUGAGAGAGACUAUUGGAAGAAGCAGCUGCCUUCCUGCAUUAAGGAAUCCAAUGUAAACGGUUCAAAAACAGCUUUAUUCACAUCAAAACAUGCUGAUCAAUCUGAUCCU
This is an RNA transcript of Fundulus heteroclitus (mummichog), 4146 nucleotides long. It is a transcript of the gene named coiled-coil domain containing 177, with no coding region annotated. The transcript has 3 exons. NCBI's taxonomy places the organism in Eukaryota, Metazoa, Chordata, Actinopteri, Cyprinodontiformes, Fundulidae. The record is from RefSeq and is a predicted model, not a curated record.